GUGACACCGGCCAAUCUUGGCACCUUACCGAACUACUUCGUUCCUGUAGUAGCACCGAGCAAGCGAGCGUGGGAGACAGCAGCGGCGACCUACGUACACCAGAGAGGAGAUGGAUAUGGACGCCAAGUAUGCUGAUCUGCGGCGCGCGGCGGAGGAAACGGCGGUGGUGGACGCGCACGCGCACGACCUCGUCGCCGCUGGUUCCACCCUGCCCUUCAUCGGCUGCUUCUCCGAGGCCGACGGCGACGCGCUCGCCUUGGCCCCCCACUCCCUCCCUUUCAAGCGAAGCCUUAGGGACAUUGCUGCAUUGUACGAUUGUGAUCCCUCACUUGAGAAGGUGGAGGAGUUCAGAAGGGCUCAAGGCCUGUCAUCUAUCACUUCAAAAUGCUUCCAAGCUGCCAAUAUAUCUGCGCUUGUUGUAGAUGAUGUCUCCACAUUGGACAAAACCCUUGAACUGGAAUCUCACAAGGCAUUUGCUCCCAAGGUUUACAGAGUUGUCGGAAUCGAGACCCUGGCGGAAACAAUUAUUAAUGAGGAGUCAGUUGUUGGAUCAAGCUGGACACUGGAUUCAUUCACUGAAGCAUUUGUGGCGAAGCUCAAAUCAGUUGCCAACAAAAUUGUUGGAUUGAAAAGCAUGGCUGCACAUAGAAGUGGCUUAGAGAUUGAUCCAAGUGUUAGCAAGGUGGAUGCAGAGGAUGGUCUUCGGAAGGAGCUAGCAACUCGGAGGCCUCUUCGGAUUACAAACAAAAACCUGUUUGACUAUAUAUUUAUUCAUAGUCUUGAAAUUGCUGUGGAGUUUCAUUUGCCAAUGCAGAUUCAUACAGGGUUUGGAGACAGGGAACUGGGCUUACGACAUUGCACCCCUUUUCAUCUGCGUGCUGUUCUUGAAGACAAAAGAUUUGUCAAGUGCCAAAUAGUUCUUCUAAAUGCUUCGUAUCCAUUUUCGAGGGAAGGAUCCUAUCUUGCAUCUGUUUACUCCCAGGUCUACCUUGAUUUUGGCUUUGCAUUUCCAAAACUUAGUGUUCAAGGAAUAACAUCAUCACUUAAAGAGCUCCUGGAGCGAGCUCCCAUAAAGAAGGUCAUGUUCAGCACAGACGGAUAUGCUUUUCCGGAGACAUACUAUCUAGGUGCAAAAUGGGCACGUGAUGUCGUUUACCGUGUCCUCUCAGCUGCAUGUGAAGAUGGUGAUCUUACCAUUCAGGAAGCUAUAGAAGCAGUUGAGGACAUCUUCAGAAGAAAUGCACUGCAUCUGUACAAGUUGAAUGUCUUCCAUGAAAAAACUACCAGUAUUGAUGACAAUACCAUAUCAUCGUCGUCUUGUCUCGGGAAAGAUGAUGUGAUCCUUGUUCGAAUGGUCUGGAAUGAUGCUUCAGGUCAACAUAGAUGCCGUGCCUUGCCAGCCGAGAGAUUUUACGGCAUUGCACGGAACAAGGGUGUUGGUCUAGGUAUUGCAGCAGUGGGGUUUACUUCCUUUAGAGAUGCCCCAGCAGUUGGGACAAACCUUACUUGUGCCGGAGAGGAAAUCAGGCUUGUGGCAGAUAUGUCAACACUUUUGAGGAUCCCAUGGUCAAGAAACGAAGAAAUGGUGAUGGUUGACAUGCUAACCGGUUCCGGAGAAGCCUCCGAAUACUGUCCUAGAAAUGCUUUAAGAAAAGUGACAAAAGUUCUGCUAGAUGAAUUCAAUGUGACAGUCAAGGCAGGUUUUGAGAAUGAAUUUUAUCUGCUCAGAAAAUCAUUCAGCGAGGGGCAUGAACAUUGGGUUCCGUAUGAUAAUAGCAGUUACUGCUCGACUUCAGCAUUUGAUGGUGCAUCAUUUAUGCUGAAAGAAGCACAUUCUUGUCUUAAAGCUGCAGGCAUUGUGGUUGAGCAGAUGCAUGCUGAAGGUGGUAAUGGGCAGUUCGAGAUAGCCUUAAAGUAUGUGUUGUGCACUCUUGCUGCUGAUAAUCAGAUAUAUGCCCGAGAAAUUAUUAAAUCCAUUGCUCGAAAACACGGGGUGAUAGCAACAUUUCUACCAAAUAUGAUGCAAUGUUUUCAUUGGCCCAGACCAGACCUAAAUGAACUUGGAUCCGGUUGUCAUGUGCACCUGAGCUUAUGGAAGAAUGACCAAAAUGUUUUCAUGGGCUCAAAUAAAUAUAAUUACCAUGGGAUGUCAAAUACCGGUGAACGGUUCCUUGCUGGAGUUUAUCAUCAUCUUCCAUCGAUACUGGCAUUUACUGCCCCUCACCCACACAGCUACGACCGAAUUCAGCCAAACACAUUCACUGGAGCAUAUCUUUGCUGGGGGAAAGAGAACCGGGAGGCUCCAUUGAGGACCUCCUGCCCACCUGGCGUGCCUCCUGAUUUUGUCAGCAACUUCGAGAUUAGGUCGUUCGACGGGUGCGCGAACCCUCACCUAGGCCUCGCCGCCAUUGUCAAUGCCGGGAUCGACGGGCUAAGGAGAGGCCUCAAGUUGCCUCCACCAACUGAACUGAACCCUGCAGAUUGCGCUUCACACGAGAGGCUACCGCAUGACUUGCUUGGAUCUGUGGAGGCACUUGCUGCGGACAAGAUUUUUCAUGAACUGAUGGGUGACAAACUUGUGACUUCUGUUAUAGCUAUGCGAAAGGCCGAGAUCGAGCACUACGCUAAGAACCCAGGGGCAGUCCACCAUCUCAUUCACCGUUACUAGCAGUAGUUGCAGGCCGAGACCGAGCACUCUUGCUUGAUGAUCGAUCGGGUUGAAAACAUUUUUCAUCGGUGUUUGUUCAGUGGAAGGAGACGUUUCCAUGGUCUAUGAUGCGCAUAUGAUGACUUUGUGGAUCUCAAGAUGUUGUGCUCGCUCAGUAUCUCAGAGAUGCUCCUGGGGGUAGGGUGUGUGUGUUCAUAGGGGCGAGUGCAUGUGAGCAUCAACAUUUGUACCGUGUUUUGAAAAGGACGUCAAUAAGGACUGAACGUUCGGUCUGGGGGCCUCCCAGACCGAAAGAGGAGUUCGGUACGACAGGCAGCUCCCUACGAACGAAAUCGUUCGGGAGGAGAGGCCUCCCAGCCCGAACGCUCCUUCCCGUCCUUGGUCUUUUCUCUGUACAAAAAAAGCCCAUAAAAACAAAAAAGCCCUACAGGCCUUUCCUCUGUACAAAAAAAGCCCAUAAGAACUAAAAAGCUCGGUUGUUGUUGUGACAAAAUAGACAUUGUUCAUUUGCACGACAAAAAAUGCCAUGGUCUUUUGCAAUGCUAUGAAAAAGGUUGACAUGCU
Aegilops tauschii subsp. strangulata is the source of this 3232-nucleotide non-coding RNA. NCBI's taxonomy places the organism in Eukaryota, Viridiplantae, Streptophyta, Magnoliopsida, Poales, Poaceae. The record is from RefSeq and is a predicted model, not a curated record.